GAUGAACGCUGGCGGCGUGCCUAAUACAUGCAAGUCGAGCGAAUGGAUUAAGAGCUUGCUCUGGUGAAUUAGUGGCGAACGGGUGAGUAACACGUGAGUAACCUGCCCUUGACUCUGGGAUAACUGCGGGAAACUGUAGCCAAUACCGGAUACGACCCUCGGAGGCAUCUCCUGGGGGUGGAAAGAAUUUCGGUCAAGGAUGGACUCGCGGCCUAUCAGCUAGUUGGUGAGGUAAAGGCUCACCAAGGCGACGACGGGUAGCCGGCCUGAGAGGGUGACCGGCCACACUGGGACUGAGACACGGCCCAGACUCCUACGGGAGGCAGCAGUGGGGAAUAUUGCACAAUGGGCGCAAGCCUGAUGCAGCAACGCCGCGUGAGGGAUGACGGCCUUCGGGUUGUAAACCUCUUUUAGCAGGGAAGAAGCGAAAGUGACGGUACCUGCAGAAAAAGCACCGGCUAACUACGUGCCAGCCGCCGCGGUAA
Molecule: ribosomal RNA, 485 nt
Filed under: uncultured bacterium
Lineage: Bacteria
Description: partial 16S ribosomal RNA
Rfam family: Bacterial small subunit ribosomal RNA
Source: RNAcentral